This 497-nucleotide ribosomal RNA is filed under the name uncultured bacterium. Its description in RNAcentral is "partial 16S ribosomal RNA". It matches the Rfam family "Bacterial small subunit ribosomal RNA", at positions 28 to 507 of the family's 1533-position model. The record is from RNAcentral.
GACGAACGCUGGCGGCGUGCCUAAUACAUGCAAGUCGAGCGAUGAAGACUGGUUCUUGCCCCGAUUUGAAGAGCAGCGAACGGGGGAGUAACGCGUGGGGAAUCUGCCUUUGAGCGGGGGACAACAUUUGGAAACGAGUGCUAAUACCGCAUAACAACUUUAAACAUAAGUUUUAAGUUUGAAAGAUGCAAUUGCAUCACUCAAAGGUGGUCCCGCGUUGUAUUAGCUAGUUGGUGGGGUAAAGGCUCACCAAGGCGAUGAUACAUAGCCGACCUGCGAGGGAGAGCGGCCAGACUGAGAGUGAGACACGGCCCAAACGCAUUCGGGAGGGAGCAGGAGGGAAGCUUUGGCGAUGGAUGAAAGGCUGACCGAGGAAGGCCGCGUGAGUGAAGAAGGGUGUCGGAUCGGAAAACUCCGUUGGUAGAGAAGAACGUUGGUGAGGGUGGAAAGCGCAGCAAGUGACGGUAACUACUCAGAAAGCGACGGCUAACUACGUG